GCACCGCGUACGGGGCCAACGCCGUACGGCACGGUAAACCCCACUCGGAGCAAGACCAAAUAGGGGAACGAUAACGCGGCCCGCGUUGUUCCCGGGUAGGUUGCUGGAGCCAGGCGGCGACGCCUGGCCGAGAGGAAUGACUGUCGCGCUGCAAGGCGUACAGAACCCGGCUUACAGGCCGACUCCACCU
Molecule: RNase P RNA, 190 nt
Filed under: Lysobacteraceae bacterium
Lineage: Bacteria; Pseudomonadati; Pseudomonadota; Gammaproteobacteria; Lysobacterales; Lysobacteraceae
Description: partial RNase P RNA component class A
Rfam family: Bacterial RNase P class A
About the family: Ribonuclease P (RNase P) is a ubiquitous endoribonuclease, found in archaea, bacteria and eukarya as well as chloroplasts and mitochondria. Its best characterised activity is the generation of mature 5'-ends of tRNAs by cleaving the 5'-leader elements of precursor-tRNAs. Cellular RNase Ps are ribonucleoproteins.
Source: RNAcentral